ACUCCUGCGGGAGGCAGCAGUGGGGAAUAUUGGACAAUGGGCGCAAGCCUGAUCCAGCCAUGCCGCGUGAGUGAUGAAGGCCCUAGGGUUGUAAAGCUCUUUCACCGGUGAAGAUAAUGACGGUAACCGGAGAAGAAGCCCCGGCUAACUUCGUGCCAGCAGCCGCGGUAAUACGAAGGGGGCUAGCGUUGUUCGGAUUUACUGGGCGUAAAGCGCACGUAGGCGGACUAUUAAGUCAGGGGUGAAAUCCCGGGGCUCAACCCCGGAACUGCCUUUGAUACUGGUAGUCUUGAGUUCGAGAGAGGUGAGUGGAAUUCCGAGUGUAGAGGUGAAAUUCGUAGAUAGUCGGAGGAACACCAGUGGCGAAGGCGGCUCACUGGCUCGAUACUGACGCUGAGGUGCGAAAGCGUGGGGAGCAAACAGGAUUAGAAACCCCUGUAGUCCCAUG
This 448-nucleotide ribosomal RNA is filed under the name uncultured organism. RNAcentral's name for it is "partial 16S ribosomal RNA". It matches the Rfam family "Bacterial small subunit ribosomal RNA", at positions 335 to 799 of the family's 1533-position model. The record is from RNAcentral.